GCGUAGUCCAAUGGUAGGACACCGGACUGUCGAUCCGGCGAUGCGGGUUCGGUCCCCGCCGCCCCA
RNAcentral lists this transfer RNA (66 nucleotides) under Acetobacteraceae bacterium. RNAcentral describes it as "tRNA-Asp". It matches the Rfam family "tRNA", at positions 5 to 66 of the family's 71-position model. From Rfam's summary of the family: Transfer RNA (tRNA) molecules are approximately 80 nucleotides in length. Lineage: Bacteria; Pseudomonadati; Pseudomonadota; Alphaproteobacteria; Acetobacterales; Acetobacteraceae. The record is from RNAcentral.